GCCCCGCGCGAGCGCCGCGGGCUCGGGACGCGAGCUGGGAGCUCCCGAGCCGGAGGGAAAAGGCGGGUCUCCGGCUUGUUUUGAUUCGGCUUCGCUGACACGCUCUGGCCCCGCCCCCGCCCGUGACGACACUGGGGAUUCGGCCUGGCCGCGCCCACCAGGUGACCUCACGGCGGAGCGGAGCGGACCGGCCGCGUGACGUCCCGCGCGAGCGCCGCGGGCUCGGGACGCGAGCUGGGAGCUCCCGAGCCGGAGGGAAAAGGCGGGUCUCCGGCUUGUUUUGAUUCGGCUUCGCUGACACGCUCUGGCCCCGCCCCCGCCCGUGACGACACUGGGGAUUCGGCCUGGCCGCGCCCACCAGGUGACCUCACGGCGGAGCGGAGCGGACCGGCCGCGUGACGUCACGCCCGCGCUGAGCCGGCCGCUUUCGAGUGACGUCAUCCUGACGCCCUCACGGGGGUCUGCGCAGCUCCUGGGCCUCUGCGAAGCGGCUUCGUCAAGUGGCGCCUGAGCCAACCCGGUGGCAUCCCGAGUAGUUACUGGGUGACCUCCUGACCUUCGUGUAAUCGAGGCUUAGAACAAUAUGAUCCGGAAAAACAGGCGGCUGACUGGAACAGAAGUGAGAACAAAGGAUUUCGGACUCAUAAUCCAUCAAAACACUUUGCCCUUCAAGAACAAUCUUGGGCUCAGUGAGUACAGAAAUAAGACAGUUCCCAGACUAGGGGAAUGAACAGGGUCAUGAAUGCGAAGCCGGCACAGCACUGGGGUGAAAGGACCCACCAGCCAGGGCUAAAGCUGAACGUUGCCUGUGACCAAGAAGCAGGCCUUGCCUGGUGGGGGAGGGGGGGGGGACAGGGGACCCACAGCCGCCGCGGGUAAGGCUGGAGCGUCCUGAAGGAGAGAUGGCUGCGUUGCGAUGACACCUGUGAAGACAGGUGGUGGCGCGAGGGCAGGAGACAGCCCCUGGGCAGGGUUUCCCAUGGGCUCCCGUUACUGCAGCUUUAUUCUGCCUUUUCACAGACCAGCUUCUUCCCAAACCUCAGGUCCCAGAUCAAACACACCCCUCCUUCAGAAUGUUGUGGCAGAAACACCUUCCCGGAGGAGCUAUCACAGCCCAGUAAACUUGAUCUUGAAAUUGUCACGUAUCAUCAGAGGCCUUGAAAGACAUCUGCAUGGCUCCAGGCUUGUGCGGAACUUCAGGCUUCAGAAACAACACCCUGACAGGCUACCACUUCUUCCUGGUUCUAAGGUUAAAAGCAAAUGCUUGCCCUAAAUACUCUAGCUAGGAACUUAAUUUUUCAAGAAAACUACAUGGGAAAUAACUCUUGAGUAUUACUUGUCUGGGAAACCUAAACAAUAAGUGGAACUUAUUGACAAUGCGGAAGCUGCUCUAGUGAAGAUCUAUGAAUCCUCUGGUUUGCUGACUUCUAGGGGUAAGCAGGGCUCAAGUGGGAAAUAGGAGUUCCAUAGCAAGAGCUUAAAAGGCUAUGAUUCAUGUCAGUAAGUUAGGGAACAUCUCAGGGGAACCUAUAUAAAAAAAUCAGCUAUGAUGGCUAUGAUGCAGGCAGGCUGGGUCCAAGGACCCACAUGGGGUCCUACAGGACCAGCCAAAAAGGCCCUUGGCUUCACACAAGACGGAAAUCAAAUGCAAGCCAGCAGGAUGUGAGAGCACAGUUUAUUGAAGAUACAGAGAACACUUACAGAUGGAGCAUUUGGGAGACUCAGAAAAGAAAGGAGCAAGAUUCUCAUCUUUGGGUCUAGGAUUUUUAUUGAGGAUGGUGAUCUGGUGUACGUAUCCCCUUAUGUAUCCAGGAACCAGUUAGAACAAAGAUGAGGGCUCAAGUGUCAUUCUUUGGAGCCAGGGGGCCUUGACAUAGAGUUGUCUUGCACUGGUGUCUGGAAUGCACAUGUGGUGGUUUCUCUGGUCAUUCUCACCUGGUUCUUCCUUAAAUGUUAUCUAUUCUGAAAAAAAAAAAUCACUAAGUCUUUGUCCCUUACAAGGACGACAUACUUUAUUUGCACUAUGAGGCAAGUAUAAAGUGGGGUGGGGUGCAGGUCCUAGCAAGAAUAGAAGCAGAAAAAGGAGAAAAAGCGUAUUUUUAUGGUGUCUCAGUACAUCUUUUAAGCCUUGAAGUUCUCAACAUUUUAAACUCUAUCUACUCUUAAUAAACCUAAAAAGCUCAUAUACUCUGUAAUGAGU
Long non-coding RNA from Vulpes vulpes (red fox), 2200 nucleotides. The record is from Ensembl. Lineage: Eukaryota; Metazoa; Chordata; Mammalia; Carnivora; Canidae.